CUGCAUCCACUGACAGAUUGUUGAACAAAUUGUUGUUCUUUUGGUUUGCACCAGGACGUGAAAGAAAAAAACUCCCUGUGCUUUCCGUCUGUCUUUGUGGCAGCCCAGAUGGAAUAGGGGAAUACAUAC
Molecule: small nucleolar RNA, 129 nt
Filed under: Dasypus novemcinctus (nine-banded armadillo)
Lineage: Eukaryota; Metazoa; Chordata; Mammalia; Cingulata; Dasypodidae
Description: Small nucleolar RNA SNORA31 (ENSDNOG00000033351.1)
Rfam family: Small nucleolar RNA SNORA31
About the family: ACA31 (SNORA31) belongs to the H/ACA class of snoRNAs which are thought to guide the sites of modification of uridines to pseudouridines. ACA31 is predicted to guide the pseudouridylation of U3713 in 28S rRNA and U218 in 18S rRNA. This family includes the mouse homologue snoMBI-161.
Source: RNAcentral